UUUAAAAAAUAAAUUUCACUC
RNAcentral lists this non-coding RNA (21 nucleotides) under Caenorhabditis elegans. Lineage: Eukaryota; Metazoa; Nematoda; Chromadorea; Rhabditida; Rhabditidae. The record is from RNAcentral.